AAAUGAACACUCCUACCAGAAAUUGUACUUCCUGAAUAGUAGGUCUCCAAAUUUCAAGAGAAGCAUUCACUCGACUUCUCAGGAGCUCGUAUAGUAGGAGCUUAAGGAGGGACUGCAGGAGGGGCACAACAACAAGAAGGAAGAGCGAGUUGAGCUUCUGCAGCUGGAUGGAGGCAAAUAUCGUAUCGCUCGGGAC
Molecule: long non-coding RNA, 196 nt
Organism: Populus trichocarpa (black cottonwood)
Lineage: Eukaryota; Viridiplantae; Streptophyta; Magnoliopsida; Malpighiales; Salicaceae
Exons: 3
Source: RefSeq, a predicted model, not a curated record